This 1242-nucleotide ribosomal RNA is filed under the name metagenome. RNAcentral describes it as "bacterial LSU rRNA". It matches the Rfam family "Bacterial large subunit ribosomal RNA", at positions 1564 to 2816 of the family's 2925-position model. The record is from RNAcentral.
UGAAUACGAGACGCUAAGGCGUCGAAGUAGUGUAUGUCAUACUUCCAAGAAAAGCUUGCACUGUCAUAGAUAGAAAACGCCUGUACCAUAACCGACACAGGUGGGUAGGUAGAGUAUACUAAGGGGCGCGAGAUAACUCUCUCUAAGGAACUCGGCGAAAUAACUCCGUAACUUCGGGAGAAGGAGUGCCCUAUUCGUAAGGUUGCAAUAACAAGAUCCAAGCAACUGUUUAUCAAAAACACAGGUCUCCGCUAAGUCGUAAGACGAUGUAUGGGGGCUGACGCCUGCCCAGUGCCAGAAGGUUAAAGAAGUUGGUUAGCAAUUGCGAAGCUAAUAACUGAAGCCCUGGUGAACGGCGGCCGUAACCAUAACGGUCCUAAGGUAGCGAAAUUCCUUGUCGGGUAAGUUCCGACCCGCACGAAAGGCGUAAUGAUUUGGAUACUGUCUCGGAGAGGGGCUCGGUGAAAUAGACUUGUCUGUGAAGAUGCGGACUACCUGCACCAGGACAGAAAGACCCUAUGAAGCUUUACUGUAACUUGAAAUUGAAAUUGGACUUUAUUCGCGCAGUAUAGGUGGGAGGCGUUGAUUAUAAUCUUGUGGGAUUAUUGGAGCCAUCAGUGAGAUACCACUCUUGUAAUGUUAGAUUUCUAACUUUGAAUCAUUAUCUGGUCAAAGAACAGUUUCAGGCGGGCAGUUUGACUGGGGCGGUCGCCUCCUAAACGGUAACGGAGGCGUACAAAGGUUUCCUCUGAACGGUUAGAAAUCGUAUCUAGAGUGUAAAGGCAUAAGGAAGCUUGACUGUGAGACCUACAAGUCGAGCAGGGACGAAAGUCGGUCUUAGUGAUCUGACGGUACUGAGUGGAAAGGCCGUCACUCAACGGAUAAAAGUUACUCUAGGAUAACAGGCUGAUCUCCCCCAAGAGUUCACAUCGACGGGGAGGUUUGGCACCUCGAUGUCGGCUCAUCGCAUCCUGGGGCGGUAGUACGUCCCAAGGGUUGGGCUGUUCGCCCAUGAAAGCGGUACGCGAGCUGGGUUCAGAACGUCGUGAGACAGUUCGGUCCAUAUCCGGUGUAGGCGUUAGAAUAUUGAGAGGAGCCUUCUUUAGUACGAGAGGACCGAGAAGGACAUACCUCUGGUGUACCAGUUAUCGUGCCAACGGUAAACGCUGGGUAGCUAUGUAUGGAGUGGAUAACCGCUGAAAGCAUCUAAGUGGGAAGCCCACCUCAAGAUAAGUAUUCUCA